RNAcentral lists this ribosomal RNA (323 nucleotides) under uncultured eukaryote. Its description in RNAcentral is "partial 18S ribosomal RNA". It matches the Rfam family "Eukaryotic small subunit ribosomal RNA", at positions 1470 to 1796 of the family's 1831-position model. The record is from RNAcentral.
CCCUUAGAUGUUCUGGACUGCACGCGUGCUACACUGAUAUUGCCAAUAUGUCAUUCUUAUCCGAAAUGGAUUGGGUAAUCAAGUAAUGAAAUUUCAUGCUUGGAAUCGGUAAUUGCAAUUUUAUCGUGAACGAGGAAUUCCUAGUAAGCACUAGUCAUCAGCUAAUGUUGAUUAUGUCCCUGCCCUUUGUACACACCGCCCGUCGCUACUACUGAUUGGGUGUUCAAGUGAGAUGCUUAGACCCUUGUUGCAUGGUUCAUUAUUGUGCUCCGAAAGGAAAAAGUUUCAAGCUUGAGUGUCUAGAGGAAGUAAAAGUCGUAACA